Molecule: RNA transcript, 2018 nt
Organism: Aricia agestis (brown argus)
Lineage: Eukaryota; Metazoa; Arthropoda; Insecta; Lepidoptera; Lycaenidae
Gene: Nup54
Gene name: probable nucleoporin Nup54
Exons: 14
Source: RefSeq, a predicted model, not a curated record
CAAAAAUUAAAAAUACAUCGUGAGAGUGUAUUAAUUUUGCUUAUUUCAGGACUUUUUAUAGCAUUAUCGAGAAAAAUAAAUUAGGAUUUCAAUGUUUUUGGAAUAAGUUACCAAAAUGUCUUUUUCGUUCGGAUCGACCAACACAGUAUCACAAAGCACAAGUUUCGGUGCCGCUGGUUCUAAACCCAUGUUUUCCUUUGGGAGUGCAAAUACAAAUACCACAAGCAGCGCCGGCGGAUUUGGUACGUCCACGGUAUCGUCCGGCUUUGGGACAUUCGGCACACCAGCUACUAACACAGCUGCACCAUUUGGGGCAUUAAAUACCACUCCGGCUACUUCUGCUUCCCUCUUCUCUGGGUUUGGGAAUAAUGCUGCAAAACCAAAUACAGGUUUCGGAACAGGGGCUUUUGGUGCCACCGGAACCAGUUUUGGAGCAACACCAGCGUUUGGAAGCACUGCACCCACAUUUGGAGCGGGUGCACCCUCAUUUGGCAGUAACGCACCAGCUUUUGGAACAAACACUUUAGGAUCUAAUACCUUUGGUACCGGUUCCACAUUUGGGACAGCCUUCGGUACUAAACCAGCCACAUCUGGUUUUGGUGGAUUUGGUACUGGUCUCGGCACAACCAAUACUUUUGGACAGCAACAACAGCAGCAAAUGCAGCAACAACAACAGGGGCCCACAAAUGCUCACGAGGCGCUGGUGACAGCUGUUUUUAACUGUUGUGUGUUUGGUGAUGAACGAGACCAAGUGUUGGCUAAAUGGAACCUGUUGCAGGCUCAGUGGGGUACUGGUCAAGCUUACUACAGUCGAAAUGCACCAGCGCUGGAGUUAAAUGAACAAAAUCCACUUUGUCGUUUCAAAGCUGUUGGCUAUUCAAGGCUGGGAGGCAAGGAAGAUAAAGAUGGUCAUGUUGCCUUGAUAUUUAAUAAGCCUGAGCAAGAAAUUAAGACUAAUCAGCAGUCGCUAACAACGUCUCUUUUUGGUCUUUUGGGAAACAAACCAAAUUUAGCAGUAAAUAUUGAAUCUAUCAAGGGAGUUACAGAGAACAAAACACAGGUUGUGAUAUACGUGGUGAACAACGCGGCAGGUGGGACACAUGUGGGCGCCAACGAGCUGAGUACGUUCCUGAAUGGGGCGGGGCCUCGGGCGUCGCUGUCCGGCGCCGCCUGCGCUGCUGUCACCCCCGUCACGCGCCCCACCCACGCCAUGCUCGAGCAGUACCUAGCUACACCCCCGCCUGGCAUGGACAUGAGAUUGUGGAAACAGGCGCAGGCCGACAACCCGGAUCCAGCUAAUUACAUUCCAGUUCCCAUUAUUGGAUUUUCAGAGAUAAAGUUCCGUGCAAAGUGUCAGGCUGAAGAGGCGGCGCUACAGGCGGGCUGGCUGCGGCGCGCGGCAGAGACGCUGGGCGAGCUGCGCACGCGCCGCGCCGCUAGCAGCGCCGCACUCGCCGGCCUCGCUGCCCGCCUACACUCACUGCGACACACUCUGCUGCAGGUGAUAGCCCGGCAGGAGGUGGCGGGUCGGGUGGGCGUCGGCCUCACGCCGGAGGAGGAGUCUGUGCGGGCGCGGCUACAGGAGCUCACCUCGCAGCUCUCCGCGCCGCCGCUAUACAACGGUCGUCUGAACGAGCUAUUGUGUGCGGUGCGACUGCAGCGCAGCGCCAGCGCCGGCGCGCCGCACGAGAGAUACCACUUGGAUCCGGGGGCGCAAGAAGACGUGAAACAGUUCCUAACCCUGCAGCAGCGCGGGAUGGCUCAUCUGCUAGACACAGCCAAGAAGGACCUAGCGGCUCUCAACACCAUUCAAGAGGGCAUGGCCAAGCUGGUGCGAGCUUAGCACACCUCAGUGCUAGGGGACUCACCCACCUAUGUCCAGUGGUUCCAGUGAGUUCUGGUUCCGGUGAGUUGCAGUGACUAUUCUGAACUGGUUAUUAUGACAGUGAGAUAUUCAAUACAGUAAUUGUUUCUACAAAAUCAAUAUAAUAAAGAAGUGUUCUUUCGACAGUUUCUUU